RNAcentral lists this ribosomal RNA (252 nucleotides) under uncultured bacterium. RNAcentral's name for it is "partial 16S ribosomal RNA". It matches the Rfam family "Bacterial small subunit ribosomal RNA", at positions 524 to 776 of the family's 1533-position model. The record is from RNAcentral.
UACGGAGGAUGCGAGCGUUAUCCGGAUUUAUUGGGUUUAAAGGGUGCGUAGGCGGUCUGUUAAGUCAGCGGUAAAAUUGCGGGGCUCAACCCCGUCGAGCCCUUGAAACUGGCAGACUUGAGUUGGCGAGAAGUACGCGGAAUGCGCGGUGUAGCGGUGAAAUGCAUAGAUAUCGCGCAGAACUCCGAUUGCGAAGGCAGCGUACCGGCGCCACACUGACGCUGAGGCACGAAAGCGUGGGGAUCGAACAGG